UUUUCCCAGUUCCCAGUGACGACUACAGGCCCAAAGGAGCGUGCAGGGUUCAUGCUGGCACCAGUGUAAGGGAUCUGUAAACAAGAGAGAAACAUUAAUGAUGUUCUCUAGAGAAAGAUCUAUCCCGUUAAAGCUGGUAUUGCAUCUCAGACAAGCUCCAGACUGAGCAUCCAUGUGCUGUCUACAAGGACCUGAAAUGUACUGACUUACUGCAAAUAGAUGGCCAAUGCAUACAGCAAAUCCUAUGGCUAGUCCAGCUGACCCUUUCAAGUCAUUCCGUUUAGGAUCACAUGUAGCAAAGACGGUGAAGACGAGCUCAAAGAAACAUUGCUUCAGUUUCCGGACGCAAGAACCAAGAAAAGAACCAAAUGCUCACCGCGGUUACUCCGAGGCCUCCUCUCACAGUACUGGGAG
This is a long non-coding RNA of Clupea harengus (Atlantic herring), 414 nucleotides long. RefSeq lists it as uncharacterized. NCBI's taxonomy places the organism in Eukaryota, Metazoa, Chordata, Actinopteri, Clupeiformes, Clupeidae. The record is from RefSeq and is a predicted model, not a curated record.